RNAcentral lists this ribosomal RNA (497 nucleotides) under uncultured bacterium. Its description in RNAcentral is "partial 16S ribosomal RNA". It matches the Rfam family "Bacterial small subunit ribosomal RNA", at positions 28 to 507 of the family's 1533-position model. The record is from RNAcentral.
GAUGAACGCUGGCGGCGUGCCUAAUACAUGCAAGUCGAGCGAACAGACUAUGAGCUUGCUCCUCUGACGUUAGCGGCGGACGGGUGAGUAACACGUGGAUAACCUACCUAUAAGACUGGGAUAACUUCGGGAAACCUGAGCUAAUACCGGAUAAUAUAUUGAACCGCAUGGUUCAAUAGUGAAAGACGGUUUUGCUGUCACUUAUAGAUGUAUCCGCGCCGCAUUAGCUAGUUGGUAAGGUAACGGCUUACCAAGGCAACGAUGCGUAGCCGACCUGAGAGGGUGAUCGGCCACACUGGAACUGAGACACGGUCCAGACUCCUACGGGAGGCAGCAGUAGGGAAUCUUCCGCAAUGGGCGAAAGCCUGACGGAGCAACGCCGCGUGAGUGAUGAAGGUCUUCGGAUCGUAAAACUCUGUUAUUAGGGAAGAACAAAUGUGUAAGUAACUAUGCACGUCUUGACGGUACCUAAUCAGAAAGCCACGGCUAACUACGUG